This 760-nucleotide ribosomal RNA is filed under the name uncultured Rheinheimera sp. Its description in RNAcentral is "bacterial SSU rRNA". It matches the Rfam family "Bacterial small subunit ribosomal RNA", at positions 8 to 775 of the family's 1533-position model. Lineage: Bacteria; Pseudomonadati; Pseudomonadota; Gammaproteobacteria; Chromatiales; Chromatiaceae. The record is from RNAcentral.
AGAGUUUGAUCCUGGCUCAGAUUGAACGCUGGCGGCAGGCCUAACACAUGCAAGUCGAGCGGGAACUUCGGUUCUAGCGGCGGACGGGUGAGUAAUGCGUAGGGAGCUACCCGACAGAGGGGGAUACCAGUUGGAAACGACUGUUAAUACCGCAUAAUGUCUACGGACCAAAGUGUGGGACCUUCGGGCCACAUGCUGUCGGAUGCGCCUACGUGGGAUUAGCUAGUUGGUGAGGUAAUGGCUCACCAAGGCGACGAUCCCUAGCUGGUUUGAGAGGAUGAUCAGCCACACUGGAACUGAGACACGGUCCAGACUCCUACGGGAGGCAGCAGUGGGGAAUAUUGGACAAUGGGCGAAAGCCUGAUCCAGCCAUGCCGCGUGUGUGAAGAAGGCCUUCGGGUUGUAAAGCACUUUCAGUAGGGAGGAAGAGUUGAGUGUUAAUAGUACUCAGCUUUGACGUUACCUACAGAAGAAGCACCGGCUAACUCUGUGCCAGCAGCCGCGGUAAUACAGAGGGUGCAAGCGUUAAUCGGAAUUACUGGGCGUAAAGCGCACGCAGGCGGUUGGUUAAGUCAGAUGUGAAAGCCCCGGGCUCAACCUGGGAAUUGCAUUUGAAACUGGCCAACUAGAGUACGUGAGAGGGGGGUAGAAUUCCAAGUGUAGCGGUGAAAUGCGUAGAGAUUUGGAGGAAUACCAGUGGCGAAGGCGGCCCCCUGGCACGAUACUGACGCUCAGGUGCGAAAGCGUGGGGAGCAAACAG